Long non-coding RNA from Diabrotica virgifera virgifera (western corn rootworm), 478 nucleotides. RefSeq lists it as uncharacterized. The record is from RefSeq and is a predicted model, not a curated record. The transcript is spliced from 2 exons. Lineage: Eukaryota; Metazoa; Arthropoda; Insecta; Coleoptera; Chrysomelidae.
CGGCUUUAAAAUGGUUUUCUUUUUAUGGUAAAAAAAGUGAAGGACUGGCAGUUUGUCCAGUAAAUGUCAAGGAAUAUUAUUACAAUAGUUUCACAACAUUUUACAUGGAUAUAUUCUUGUGAAACACUAUUAUUGUUAUGCAGUUUGGUUUGCCGGCGGUAAAAAGAGAAAGUGCGUGGUUUUCUGGUUUCCUGUUUUUGAUGAUGUUAUGGUAACAUUCCUGUAUUGAAGAUGAUAUUUGAUUUGGUAUCAAUUUUAUCCUGUUUCCAGUUUUGUAAUGAUUUGAAUGUCUUCCCUCCCCCCAAUCUCGAAUGGAAAAUUUUGAAGUUCCAAGUGUGACAUGUGACAUGAAUUUUUGUUUUAAGUUUUAGAAUAGAAGAAAAUGUAAUGGCAUAGAAGCCAAUAAAGGUAAAUGAUAGCCCAGUAUAACCCCAACGAGGAAUCUACGAUGAAUGUCCUCCCAGUUGGUUUCCAGUAA